RNAcentral lists this ribosomal RNA (459 nucleotides) under uncultured bacterium. RNAcentral's name for it is "partial 16S ribosomal RNA". It matches the Rfam family "Bacterial small subunit ribosomal RNA", at positions 338 to 795 of the family's 1533-position model. The record is from RNAcentral.
CCUACGGGUGGCAGCAGUGAGGAAUAUUGGUCAAUGGCCGAGAGGCUGAACCAGCCAAGUCGCGUGAGGGAAGACGGCCCUACGGGUUGUAAACCUCUUCUGUCGGGGAGCAAAGAGAGUCACGUGUGACUCAUUGAGAGUCCCCGAAGAAAAAGCAUCGGCUAACACCGUGCCAGCAGCCGCGGUAAUACGGAGGAUGCGAGCGUUAUCCGGAUUGAUGGGGUUUAAGGGGUGCGCAGGCGGAGGUGCAAGUCAGCGGUAAAAUUGCGGGGCUCAACCCCGUACUGCCGUUGAAACUGCAUCCCUUGAGUGCGCGAGAGGUAUGCGGAAUGCGUGGUGUAGCGGUGAAAUGCAUAGAUAUCACGAAGAACUCCGAUUGCGAAGGCAGCAUACCGGCGCGCAACUGACGCUGAUGCACGAAAGCGUGGGUAUCGAACAGGAUUAGAUACCCGUGUAGUC